CGGGGUGAGUAACGCGUGGAUAACCUGCCUUGCACUGGGGGAUAACACUUAGAAAUAGGUGCUAAUACCGCAUAAGCGCACAGAGCCGCAUGGCUCAGUGUGAAAAACUCCGGUGGUGUAAGAUGGAUCCGCGUCUGAUUAGCUGGUUGGCGGGGUAGAAGCCCACCAAGGCGACGAUCAGUAGCCGGCCUGAGAGGGUGAACGGCCACAUUGGGACUGAGACACGGCCCAAACUCCUACGGGAGGCAGCAG
This 252-nucleotide ribosomal RNA is filed under the name uncultured bacterium. RNAcentral describes it as "partial 16S ribosomal RNA". It matches the Rfam family "Bacterial small subunit ribosomal RNA", at positions 100 to 354 of the family's 1533-position model. The record is from RNAcentral.